This 402-nucleotide long non-coding RNA is filed under the name Capra hircus (goat). RNAcentral describes it as "lncRNA (ENSCHIG00010029141.1)". Lineage: Eukaryota; Metazoa; Chordata; Mammalia; Artiodactyla; Bovidae. The record is from RNAcentral.
AAAAAAAAAUCUGUGGCCACACCUUAAAACCAUCAAAUGGGUACAUAGUGGGUCCUUAGUAAAUACUUCCUGAAGGAAUGAUCAACUUUUUUAUUCAACUUGGUAGAAAAUGCCUCAGCUGGUUUUCUCUUUUUAGCUUCACAAGUCUGAGUUGUUUUCCCACCUCUUCAAUUAACCUUUAUUUCAAAUUUCGUCUCUUCGUUUCUUUAGCUUAUUUAUGCUCCAGAGAAUGAAUUAUGUAUAACCAGUACCUGAAAAUUUUUCUGAGUGUGCCUGAGGAGCUUAAAAUAGUGAGAGAUCUAAGUCUCAUCUGCUGUAUGAACUGGAAUCCCCCAAAUCUUCACAGGAGGGGUCUGCCCAGCAAGCCGGAGGAGGGCUUUGCUAACUUAAAGGGCCAAUAGA